Molecule: long non-coding RNA, 654 nt
Filed under: Marmota monax (woodchuck)
Lineage: Eukaryota; Metazoa; Chordata; Mammalia; Rodentia; Sciuridae
Source: RNAcentral
GCCAUAAGUCUGUAGUCAAGGCUUUGAGUCCCUUGUGGAGGCUCCAAGGGAUAGUGUCUGUUCCUUGCCUCUUUCAGUUUCUGGUGGUAAUUACCAUUCCUUGACUUUGGGCAGUUUAGAUCCUGUGGUGUAAGGGACUAACUGGGCCAUUUCCCUCUGCUCUUUAAAGGAUACAUGUGAGAUUGCAUUUAAGGCUGGAAGAUCAGGACUAAUUUCUCUCAGAUCUUUUUUUCCUAUAUAUUUAUUGGUGCCUUAUAAUUACACAUAAUAAUGGGAUUCAUUGUUACAUAUUCGUACAUGUACACAAUAUUGUUUUCCCAUCCUUCCCUUUCCCUCCAUCCCUUCCCCUGGCCCACAUCUUCUACUCUUUCUAGUCUCCCUUGUUUUCAUGAGGUCCCCUCACCUUUUUUGCCUUAUUUCUUUUUAGCUCUCAUAUAUUCCCUCAGAUCUUUUAAUCACAUCUUAUAUAAAACAAUCACAGUUUUGUGGGUUAGGAAUUGAAUAUCUUUGGGGGGACCACCAUUUGGACCACUAUACCUUGGUUCCUUAACUCCUACUCAAAUAAGUUUGACCUCCCUCAAAAAACAAAACCAAAAACAAAAAAACGUUAUUUUAAAUGAAAGAGGCAAAUGAAAAAUAAAAAAAGCUCAGAAA